Molecule: long non-coding RNA, 1077 nt
Filed under: Pan troglodytes (chimpanzee)
Lineage: Eukaryota; Metazoa; Chordata; Mammalia; Primates; Hominidae
Description: long non-coding RNA NONPTRT005942
Source: RNAcentral
CUUGAGCUUGGUAAGUCUCAUCGUGCAAUGGUGCUUGAAAUGUUGCUAUUUUCCAGCUUGAUCAAAAUGCUGUCAUGCUUAUUACCUGGGACUUUCUGCAUGAGGACAAGGACCUGGUCUGUUAGAGCAGGAGUCCUCAACCCCCAGGCCACAGACUGGUACCAGUCUGCAGCCUCUUAGGAACUGGGCCAUACAGCAGGAGGUGAGCGCAGGGCAGGUGAGCAGAGUGUCAUCUGUGUUUACAGCCAUUCCCCAUCACUCCCAUCACCGCCUGAGCUCCACCUCCUGCCAAAUCAGCAGCAGCAAUAGAUUCUCAUAGGAGCAUGAACACUUGUGAACUGUGCAUGUGAGGAAUCUGGGUUGCGUGUUCCUUAUAAGAAUCUAAUGCCUGAUGAUCUCUGUCUCCCAUCACCCGCUUUGGGGCCAUCUAGUUGACGGAAAGCAAGCUCAGGGCUCCCACUGGUUCUACGUUAUGUGGCUAUGGUGGUGCCCCAGGGUUACUGGUAACUUCAAAACAUGGUUAACUUGCCUACUGGGUACCCUAAUAGCACAUGGGGAAGUAUCAACGUCAUCGUCAUCAUCAUCAUCAUCUUUCUACAGAGGAAACUGAGGCCCAGAGAGGGUGAACUUCCUGCCCAAGGUCAAGUGAAGGUCAUCCUUAUUGAGGGCUUUUCCCAUCAUGUCAGACAAUAGUAGGCAAAUUGAGACAGGAUUGGAGGAGGAGGAGAAGGAGGAGAUGGGGGUGGAAGGGGAGGAGAAAAAGGAGGAGAGGAAGAAGAAAGGGAAGAGAAGGAGAGGGAAGAGGAGAGGGAAGAGGAGAGGGAAGAGGAGAGGGAAGAGGAGAGGGAAGAGGAGAGGGAAGAGGAGAGGGAAGAGGAGAGGGAAGAGGAGAGGGAAGAGGAGAGGGAAGAGAGGGAGGACGGUAGAGGAGAAGAGGGGAGAAGGGAAGAAGUGGGAGGGAAGAUGACAGGGAGCAGAAAGGAAGAAGAAGGUGGAGCAGGAGAGAGGAAGAGGAGGAGGAGGGGGAAGGAGGAAAAGGAAGGGGUGCAGGAAGAGGAGGGGGUGCGUGGGCAGAAG